GACGGGGGGGGCAAGUGUUCUUCGGAAUGACUGGGCGUAAAGGGCACGCAGGCGGUGAAUCGGGUUGAAAGUGAAAGUCGCCAAAAAGUGGCGGAAUGCUCUCGAAACCAAUUCACUUGAGUGAGACAGAGGAGAGUGGAAUUUCGUGUGUAGGGGUGAAAUCCGUAAAUAUACGAAGGAACGCCAAAAGCGAAGGCAGCUCUCUGGGUCCCUACCGACGCUGGGGUGCGAAAGCAUGGGGAGCGAACAGG
Molecule: ribosomal RNA, 251 nt
Filed under: uncultured bacterium
Lineage: Bacteria
Description: partial 16S ribosomal RNA
Rfam family: Bacterial small subunit ribosomal RNA
Source: RNAcentral